This is a non-coding RNA of Zonotrichia albicollis (white-throated sparrow), 555 nucleotides long. The record is from RefSeq and is a predicted model, not a curated record. NCBI's taxonomy places the organism in Eukaryota, Metazoa, Chordata, Aves, Passeriformes, Passerellidae.
CACACCGCAGGCUGUCCGGACGCGGGCAGAGGAUGGGAACGUGUCUCGCUGCACUCGGAGUUCAUCCUUUUAGUGUGACUGCAAAGGUGUGGACCUGCCCACGGACUCGAUUCCUCCAUCACUCUCCUAUCUAGAAAAGCUGCCAAAAAGAAAUCAGGAUUUGCAAGCGACACAGAUUCUGAAGUGUUCAGUGCUCCAGUGACUGGAUAACUUUUAUAAGACUUCUGUGAUUUCUGCAGUAUUUCAGAGCAAAGGACAUCCUGUUGAUAGAGCUGAGGAAAAAUUUCACUGUCUUGCCCGAGCUCUUUUUACUUAAAUUUUUCUUUCCCCUCCUACAUGACGACAGCAAAUCCAGUUGAACAAAUACUUGGUGUUGAAGCAGAAGGAAUGAAAAUGAAUUUUGAUCACUCAAAGUAUUUUUGUUGGGGGGGUGGGGAUGGUGAGGGAGGUCAAGGGCUGUACUUGCUGGAAUUGUUUUAAAUAAUUGAUGUGCUCACAGCUGAUUAUGGGUUCUUCUCACUGCCACAGAAUAAACACUUCUGAUGGUGUAUUACA